UGGAUUCCACUGACACGUAGACGU
This 24-nucleotide microRNA is filed under the name Oryza sativa (Asian cultivated rice). Its description in RNAcentral is "osa-miR5153". The record is from miRBase by way of RNAcentral. Lineage: Eukaryota; Viridiplantae; Streptophyta; Magnoliopsida; Poales; Poaceae. RNAcentral also lists the same sequence under 1 other name.